Molecule: transfer RNA, 76 nt
Filed under: Alphaproteobacteria bacterium
Lineage: Bacteria; Pseudomonadati; Pseudomonadota; Alphaproteobacteria
Also listed under: 1 other name
Description: tRNA-Ala
Rfam family: tRNA
About the family: Transfer RNA (tRNA) molecules are approximately 80 nucleotides in length.
Source: RNAcentral
GGGGCGUUAGCUCAGCUGGUAGAGCGCUUCCAUGGCAUGGAAGAGGUCAGGAGUUCGACUCUCCUACGCUCCACCA